RNAcentral lists this ribosomal RNA (495 nucleotides) under uncultured bacterium. Its description in RNAcentral is "partial 16S ribosomal RNA". It matches the Rfam family "Bacterial small subunit ribosomal RNA", at positions 28 to 523 of the family's 1533-position model. The record is from RNAcentral.
GAUGAACGCUGGCGGCGUGCUUAACACAUGCAAGUCGAGCGAAGCGCUUAGGAAAGAUUCUUCGGAUGAUUUCCUAUUUGACUGAGCGGCGGACGGGUGAGUAACGCGUGGGUAACCUGCCUCAUACAGGGGGAUAACAGUCAGAAAUGACUGCUAAUACCGCAUAAGACCACAGCACCGCAUGGUGCAGGGGUAAAAACUCCGGUGGUAUGAGAUGGACCCGCGUCUGAUUAGUUAGUUGGUGGGGUAACGGCCUACCAAGGCGACGAUCAGUAGCCGACCUGAGAGGGUGACCGGCCACAUGGGGACUGAGAAACGGCCCAAACUCCUACGGGAGGCAGCAGUGGGGAAUAUUGCACAAUGGGGGAAACCCUGAUGCAGCGACGCCGCGUGAGCGAAGAAGUAUUUCGGUAUGUAAAGCUCUAUCAGCAGGGAAGAAAAUGACGGUACCUGACUAAGAAGCCCCGGCUAACUACGUGCCAGCCGCCGCAGUAA